RNAcentral lists this ribosomal RNA (492 nucleotides) under uncultured bacterium. RNAcentral's name for it is "partial 16S ribosomal RNA". It matches the Rfam family "Bacterial small subunit ribosomal RNA", at positions 30 to 507 of the family's 1533-position model. The record is from RNAcentral.
CGAACGCUGGCGGCGUGCUUAACACAUGCAAGUCGAACGGAAAGGCCUGCUUUCCCUUGUGGAUUGCGGGUACUCGAGUGGCGAACGGGUGAGUAACACGUGAGUGAUCUGCCCCCAACUUGGGUAUAAGCCUGGGAAACUGGGUCUAAUUCCCGAUAGGACUGCAGGGUGGUGCCUGUGGUGGAAAACGAUUUUCUAGUGGUUGGGGAUGAGCUCGCGGCCUAUCAGCUUGUUGGUGGGGUAAUGGCCUACCAAGGCGGCGACGGGUAGCCGGCCUGAGAGGGUGGACGGCCACAUUGGGACUGAGAUACGGCCCAGACUCCUACGGGAGGCAGCAGUGGGGAAUAUUGCACAAUGGGCGGAAGCCUGAUGCAGCGACGCCGCGUGGGGGAUGACGGCCCUCGGGUUGUAAACUCCUUUCGACCGCGAGGAAGCCACCUGGUUGGAAGGGUGGUGACGGUAGUGGUAGAAGAAGCACCGGCUAACUACGUG